GACGUAGGAUGCGAGCGUUGUCCGGAUUUAUUGGGCGUAAAGAGUUCGUAGGUGGUUUGUUAAGUCUGAUGUUAAAGACUGAGGCUCAACCUCGGAAAUGCAUUGGAUACUGGCAGACUGGAGUGCAGUAGAGGCAAGUGGAAUUCCCAGUGUAGCGGUGAAAUGCGUAGAUAUUGGGAAGAACACCAGUGGCGUAAGCGACUUGCUGGGCUGUAACUGACACUGAGGAGCGAAAGCCAGGGGAGCGAAUGGG
This 253-nucleotide ribosomal RNA is filed under the name uncultured prokaryote. RNAcentral describes it as "partial 16S ribosomal RNA". It matches the Rfam family "Bacterial small subunit ribosomal RNA", at positions 524 to 776 of the family's 1533-position model. The record is from RNAcentral.